UACGUCUCACGUAACUGGCGAAAAGCUGCGAUCGGCCCCAGAAUGGUGCGCGGAUCAAUCGGCGAAAGAUGGACAUCCAUCGGGAAACGUGAGAUUUCAACAGCCGUUCGCCUGGGCAGCCCUU
This 124-nucleotide non-coding RNA is filed under the name Duganella sp. Leaf126. RNAcentral's name for it is "ZMP/ZTP riboswitch aptamer (pfl RNA motif)". It matches the Rfam family "ZMP/ZTP riboswitch aptamer (pfl RNA motif)". Rfam says of the family: Previously known as pfl RNA. ZMP is also known as AICAR. RNAcentral also lists the same sequence under 1 other name. Lineage: Bacteria; Pseudomonadati; Pseudomonadota; Betaproteobacteria; Burkholderiales; Oxalobacteraceae. The record is from Rfam by way of RNAcentral.